GACGAACGCUGGCGGCGUGCUUAAUACAUGCAAGUAGAACGCUGAAGGAGGAGCUUGCUUCUCUGGAUGAGUUGCGAACGGGUGAGUAACGCGUAGGUAACCUGCCUGGUAGCGGGGGAUAACUAUUGGAAACGAUAGCUAAUACCGCAUAAUAGUAGAUGUUGCAUGACAUUUACUUAAAAGGUGCAAUUGCAUCACUACCAGAUGGACCUGCGUUGUAUUAGCUAGUUGGUGGGGUAACGGCUCACCAAGGCGACGAUACAUAGCCGACCUGAGAGGGUGAUCGGCCACACUGGGACUGAGACACGGCCCAGACUCCUACGGGAGGCAGCAGUAGGGAAUCUUCGGCAAUGGACGAAAGUCUGACCGAGCAACGCCGCGUGAGUGAAGAAGGUUUUCGGAUCGUAAAGCUCUGUUGUAAGAGAAGAACGAGUGUGAGAGUGGAAAGUUCACACUGUGACGGUAUCUUACCAGAAAGGGACGGCUAACUACGUG
Molecule: ribosomal RNA, 495 nt
Filed under: uncultured bacterium
Lineage: Bacteria
Description: partial 16S ribosomal RNA
Rfam family: Bacterial small subunit ribosomal RNA
Source: RNAcentral